GGCGGCAUGCCUUACACAUGCAAGUCGAACGCGGAAGGGGGCAACCCUGAGUAGAGUGGCGAACGGGUGAGUAAUGCAUCGGAACGUGUCCUGUAGCGGGGGACAACCCCGAGAAAUCGGGGCUAAUACCGCAUACGUCCUACGGGAGAAAGUGGGGACCGCAAGGCCUCACACUAUAGGGGCGGCCGAUGCCGGAUUAGCUAGUUGGUGAGGUAAAAGCUCACCAAGGCGACGAUCCGUAGCUGGUCUGAGAGGAUGAUCAGCCACACUGGGACUGAGACACGGCCCAGACUCCUACGGGAGGCAGCAGUGGGGAAUUUUGGACAAUGGGCGCAAGCCUGAUCCAGCCAUGCCGCGUGAGUGAAGAAGGCCUUCGGGUUGUAAAGCUCUUUCGGCCGGGACGAAAUCGCUUUCGCUAAUAUCGAGAGUGGAUGACGGUACCGGAAUAAGAAGCACCGGCUAACUACGUGCCAGCAGCCGCGGUAAUACGUAGGGUGCGAGCGUUAAUCGGAAUUACUGGGCGUAAAGCGUGCGCAGGCGGUUUCGCAAGUC
This 552-nucleotide ribosomal RNA is filed under the name uncultured beta proteobacterium. Its description in RNAcentral is "bacterial SSU rRNA". It matches the Rfam family "Bacterial small subunit ribosomal RNA", at positions 38 to 589 of the family's 1533-position model. Lineage: Bacteria; Pseudomonadati; Pseudomonadota; Betaproteobacteria. The record is from RNAcentral.